UACUGGCAGGAUCAACCAGGUAGCAUUCCUUCGCGACAUCGAUGCCCGCAUGAGGCCCGACAAGCCGUGCGGCCAUUGGACACUCAAGACGGGAGCGACAGUCGUUCGCGUCAAUGGACAAAAUGCAUUGCUUGGGCAAACAAAGGCCGAGAGACCCUGUACCCACACAUAACAUUCUGCAUCCGAGAGUACGGGCAGAGCACCUCAUGGGCCAAGGCAACCACGCAAGUUGGCGAGGCAUGCCAGGAACACAAGGCUCGCCUUACGUCCACCCCACCACCCGUGAGGGCAUGGGGCGGAGAGGGACAAACGAAACCAUCAAAUUCCUUUCCGUAGGUAAG
Molecule: unclassified non-coding RNA, 341 nt
Filed under: Protium pecuniosum
Lineage: Eukaryota; Viridiplantae; Streptophyta; Magnoliopsida; Sapindales; Burseraceae
Description: partial external transcribed spacer
Source: RNAcentral